RNAcentral lists this long non-coding RNA (319 nucleotides) under Brassica rapa (field mustard). RNAcentral describes it as "long non-coding RNA (BRAP_LNC005534)". Lineage: Eukaryota; Viridiplantae; Streptophyta; Magnoliopsida; Brassicales; Brassicaceae. The record is from RNAcentral.
AAAGUUUGACAUGUAUUUUAAGUGCAUAGCAAAUCAUCUUCUACGUAAUUGUAUGUAUAUCAUAUGAAUUUAAAGUAUGUGUAGUAUCAAUAUAAAUAUUUUAUAUAAAAUGAAAGAUGUAAAUUAAAAAUAUAAGGUUAAUUAUACAUAUGUUCGGUUAUCUUCGGAUAUCCAUUCGGGUUCGGAUAUUACCCGUUCGGGUUCGGAUAUCCAAUCUCUCCUAAUUUAAUAUCCGUUCGGAUAUUUUGCUACUUCGGUUCGGAUUUCGGUUCGGGUUUUUCGGAUCGGGUUCGGGUGCCACUUCGGAUUUCGGGUAAAG